RNAcentral lists this long non-coding RNA (326 nucleotides) under Drosophila guanche. The record is from RNAcentral. Lineage: Eukaryota; Metazoa; Arthropoda; Insecta; Diptera; Drosophilidae.
GCGCCGCCCGCCAGCGUUCUCCGAUUCCGCCGCGUCAGCUCCACGUGCCGACGUUCUCGGCGGAUGUUUAUGCAACGGACGAAAUAUGAUGCCAGUUCAACUCGAUGCCCGUCCACUCCAGCGCUGUAUCGGCAUUCUUACAAAGUUAGAACAUUGCCGAUACCCUGCCGUUGGUGGGCACUGUUAACUACUCCCCCUCUACAAGAGUCGUCGCCCUCGCACCUCUCAAGUUCUCUAUCAUUGCGUGGACCUGGACCAACUCCCUUAUCCUCUUGAGUAGGGAUCUGAGAUAGAGGAUGAUGCCGAUGACUCCACAGAAGGCUACU